Molecule: transfer RNA, 85 nt
Filed under: Bacteroidota bacterium
Lineage: Bacteria; Pseudomonadati; Bacteroidota
Also listed under: 1 other name
Description: tRNA-Ser
Rfam family: tRNA
About the family: Transfer RNA (tRNA) molecules are approximately 80 nucleotides in length. Their secondary structure includes four short double-helical elements and three loops (D, anti-codon, and T loops). Further hydrogen bonds mediate the characteristic L-shaped molecular structure. tRNAs have two regions of fundamental functional importance: the anti-codon, which is responsible for specific mRNA codon recognition, and the 3' end, to which the tRNAs corresponding amino acid is attached (by aminoacyl-tRNA synthetases). tRNAs cope with the degeneracy of the genetic code in two manners: having more than one tRNA (with a specific anti-codon) for a particular amino acid; and 'wobble' base-pairing, i.e. permitting non-standard base-pairing at the 3rd anti-codon position.
Source: RNAcentral
GGAGGAAUGGCAGAGUGGUCGAAUGCACCGGUCUUGAAAACCGGCGAGGGUCACACCUCCGGGGGUUCGAAUCCCUCUUCCUCCG